UUGACUGCCAAUGGCUAGGUAGCUAGCUGACGUUAGUGCAACAGGUGGGCAGGUGUUGAACGGUUUCCUGCAUCACCUCUUCCUAUGAAGGGUUUGAUCGAACUUCGUAGCUAGCAAGCGAGAAAACAUUUUUCUAUAUCUUCUGCUAACGUUACCUUCCCUGCCACGGUCGGAUAUCCAGCUAACACAACAAGGGAAUAUGCAUAUUUCACUAAUAUAACUAGCUACUCGUUGUAUAUUCGGGUUGCUAAAUUUAGCUCUUAGUAAGUCGCCUGUUACUUUUCACGAGAAAAAAAAUUGACAUGCAGCACGUGCUGGGCGUUCCAAACAUACACAGGGAGACAAUCACUGGCAUGCAAACAAUAACGACAGGAAAAUGUUUGCUGGUGGGAAUUUCGUUGGUGACUCAAAAGAACAAAAAGCAUUGAGCUAAAGCUAGCUAGCUAUCACACUAAACAAAUGUGUGUAAGUUACUGUACAUGGAUCGUUCAAGACGAUCCAGCUAACGCGGCGUGACUCAACGUUUUGACCCUCACCUCUCUCUGCCACCAGUAGCAGCUAUAUUCAUUUAGUAGCAAGUGACUCGAAACUUAGCAUCAGCCUUAUAUAAUAAAAUAAAGACCAGUAUACGGUUGGUUCAAUCAAUAUCCGACCUUAAACAGUAAGACGGAUAAUCAUUUCACUGCAUUAAUUCAUUUUUCUUAGUCGUCCACAAUAUUUAAUUAAUGAACAUAGACGGUGUGGGCGUAGAGGAUACGUGUGCUAGCUAGUACAAGCGGUCUUAUCUGACGUUACCUGACCAUCGCUCCAGCUAGCUACCUUUCGCCAGGUUAGUUAUAAAUAAGGGCAAGUAACGUUAGAUACCAUUAGCUAGCUAGCUGCCUUCCUUCAAUACUUGGUGGCUUUACUGACAGACAUAACUCAUAUUAAAAGCCACCAAGCAUCGACCUAAAGGCUAAGCUAGCUAUCAUACAAAACAAGUGUGUGUGUGUGCCUGUACAACAAGGAUCCUUCAAAACUAUCCAGCCCCAGCUAACACGGCGUGACAUACCACGUUUUGACCAUCACCCUCUCUCUGCCAUCAGUGUUGAGUUGGCUGGAGGAGGUGCAGAUGACAAGAAGAAGAUAAAGGAGGGGGGAGGCCACCACUACAGCGUCUGCAAAACUCCUGUGUGAGACCAAGGCCAUUCCCAACCUGAUCUACAGUAUAGAGCAGUAUGAGAAAUACCCCAUCAACCUCUCCAAGAAAUCAAAGUUAUGUAUGGGAGUGCUUUGGGAUGGGAGAUUGUCUCAAAUUGAAUGUAAGUGUCUACUUGUAACCAAACAUAAAGCAAGAUGAGGACACACAAUAGAAGAUAGAGCCUUGUGGGACAUUUCAGUAAAAGAACAUCUCCCAAACUAAACAUACACUUCAUUAUUGUAACUACAAGAUAAAACGGGUGUCUGUGUGUUGCGUAGGUGAAUCUUAUUCAGUACAUGAAGCUGAGAGAUUUCCACAUCAACUGGAAGCAGCGCUGCAGGAGCAGGACAAGUCAGCAGACCACAGCCUCUCAGGAGCCAGAGCAGAGCCAGGAGCCCAAGAGGAAGCAGUGAUGGAAAACAAUACAUCUUUUUCCCUCUAAACCGCUCAAUAGACUCCUCUCUCAACCAGUCUGGAGCUUCCCCCCUUCAUUCGGAUGA
This is a long non-coding RNA of Oncorhynchus tshawytscha (Chinook salmon), 1680 nucleotides long. RefSeq lists it as uncharacterized. Lineage: Eukaryota; Metazoa; Chordata; Actinopteri; Salmoniformes; Salmonidae. The transcript has 4 exons. The record is from RefSeq and is a predicted model, not a curated record.